Piliocolobus tephrosceles (Ugandan red Colobus) is the source of this 2370-nucleotide long non-coding RNA. RefSeq lists it as uncharacterized. The transcript has 2 exons. Lineage: Eukaryota; Metazoa; Chordata; Mammalia; Primates; Cercopithecidae. The record is from RefSeq and is a predicted model, not a curated record.
CGUCGCUUAACGGAAGAAGGCUCGAGUAGCAGCGGCGCAGCCAGGGCACCUGGGGGUGACACACGAGUGGGCGGGCGGUCCAGGGAGCCCCUGCUGGAAACCAGACGCUAAACCUUGCAGCUGUGCAGCUAAGGGAGCAUCUAUUUUCCAUUUGAGAGCAACGCGGGCAAGCGAGAACGGCCCGAUUUCGGUGCAGGGGUGCAUCCCGAGGGGGCGGGGGGCUGUUUCUGCGGCGGACCGGGCAGGGGAAACCGAGGCCACGCUGGAUCCGCAGCCCCGAGGUGUCCACGAGAGCUCCGCUCGCGCGAGGGCGCGGCGCGAGGCUGCCCGCAGGACCGGCCUGCGGUGCGAGCGGCCAAUGAGUGGAUAAAGAAAAUGUGAUAUAUAUACACUAUGGAAUACUACUCGGCCGUAGAAGGAAUGAAGUAAUGGCAUUGGCAGCAACCUGGAUGGAGUUGGAGACCAUUAUUCUAAGUGAAGUAACUCAAGAAUGGAAAACCAAAUAUUGUAUGUUCUCACUCAUAAGUGGGAGCUAAGCUGUGAGGAUGCAAAGGCUUAAGAAUGAUAUAGUAGACUCUGGGGACUCGAGGGGUGAGGGAUAAAAGACUACACAUUGGGUACACUGUGCGCUGCUUGGGUGAUGAGUGCACCAAAAUCUCAGAACUGACCACUGAAGAACUUCCUCAUGUAACCAGAAACCACCUGUUCCACAAAAACUAUCGAAAUAACAUUUUUUAAACUUUACUAUUUCUGGAUAAAAUUUACAUAGAUUUCUCAGAAAAAAAAUAUUUAGAAUUGAGGUAUCUAUUAGAGAACUGAGUUAAAUUAUUACUACUUAAAAACACAGAAAGUGGUAUAGCCACUUUAUGAAUUUAUCAGUUAGCAAUGGCUAGGUUAUGCUUAGUGGUUUAUAACCAAAUCUUAGUAGUUUAUAAUAACAAAUGUGUAUUGUUAAUUCCCACUACAAAUUUAUCAUGACAAUGCUGGGUGGGGGAGAAGUCAACAAAACAUGCCCUGGUUCGUGAAGCUUUGGCCCAGAAGUAAAAUGUAUCUUCUCUGUUCACAUUGCACUGGGCCAGGGAAAUUAUCGUGGCCACAAGUGACUUCAAAAGGAUGGGGAAGUGCAAUCUUGGCAUUGUCAGAAGAAGUGAAAACAUUUGGUGAAGAGCAUUAAUGACUGUCUUUACAGGAAAAAAACAAUCAAAUAGACAUGAUUUCUUGUUUCAGUUUCAUCAUUUCCUACUGUGUUACCUAAACUUUCUGAGCCUCAGUUUCUUAUUACUAAAAUAGAAUAAUGAUAAAGAUGAUAUUCAUGUCAAGGACUUUGUGUUAACUAGAGAAAAAAAAAUUGAAAACUGUAGCAAGUUACGCAAAUUAGAAAUGUAUAAUAUUACUGCUUUGAAAGUGAUGGUGAAAUGUAGAAUAAUUGAGAGGAUAAUGCAAAGCACUUAUACCAGGAGGCUUUUAGCUGCAGGUAAUAGAAAUGAACUUCCACUACUUUAAUCGAUAAAAAAGUGUGUUGGCUCACAAAUUUGUCAUCCAGACAUAAAGGAAGCUUCAGAAUUCAUUGACUCAGGAGUUGAAUGUUAGUAUCGAGGACCUAGAUUUUUCUCAUCUGCACUUCAAUUCUCAAUGCCCGAUUCAACAUCAGGCUGUAGUAAGAUGGCUAGAGUGAUUCCAGGGAUAACAUCUAGAGAGAAAAAAGAGAACUCCUUUUCUUACGAUUUUUCUCUUAAGAGAAAAGGAACUUCCCAAAAGCCCCCAGCAAGCAUACCUUCACAUCCCAUGGCCAGAAGUGGCUCACAUAUGUACCCUGAGCUAAGCACUGCAAACAGGAAUGGGAUUGCCCGUAGGCCUCGGAGACCACCUGGAUCUUGGGAAGGUGUCAGCUCUACCUGUGGCACUUGGCUGAGUGGGAAAGGGAUGGAAACAUGAAUAAAGUAAGAAUUAGGAAGGAAAAGGAGAAAUGGAUCCAGGGUAGGAAGCCAAUAGUUGUAGUUAUCUCAAACAAAUAUGAUUGAUUUCAUCUUUAUAAAUGUGAUGACCUAAUUUAAUACAUUCAAUCAAUGAAGUAAAAGAAAGUGCAAGGACAAUAUGGCAUCUGUCUGUCUCUGUUGAGAUUUGAGAGAUAAUACCAAGAACAUGUGGUGACCUGGGUCCUCACUGCUACUGUCUUUCUGUACCUGGACGCUUCCUAGCAAGAGACUUCAACUUCAGAACAAAGAGGAUCCCAACUUGUAACUGCAUUAUACACACCCCAGCCGCACACAUAAGUUGCUUUCUAAUUAUUCCUCUUUAAGAAAUUGUUUGUAGAAUAUUUAUCUAUGUAUAAAUGGAAAAAUAGAAAAUUAAAAUAACAAAAAUAAGUAA